This 508-nucleotide ribosomal RNA is filed under the name uncultured bacterium. Its description in RNAcentral is "partial 16S ribosomal RNA". It matches the Rfam family "Bacterial small subunit ribosomal RNA", at positions 28 to 507 of the family's 1533-position model. The record is from RNAcentral.
GACGAACGCUGGCGGCGUGCUUAACACAUGCAAGUCGAACGGGAUAAUUUGAGAGCUUGCUCUUAGAGAAUCUAGUGGCAAACGGGUGAGUAACACGUAGACAACCUGCCGACAGGAUGGGGACAACAUUCCGAAAGGAAUGCUAAUACCGAAUGAAGCGGAGGAGAGGCAUCUCUCCUCCGUGAAAGAUGGCCUCUGAAUAUGCUAUCACCUGUCGAUGGGUCUGCGUCUGAUUAGCUAGUUGGUGAGGUAACGGCUCACCAAGGCGACGAUCAGUAGCCGGUCUGAGAGGAUGAACGGCCACAUUGGGACUGAGACACGGCCCAGACUCCUACGGGAGGCAGCAGUGGGGAAUCUUCCGCAAUGGGCGCAAGCCUGACGGAGCAACGCCGCGGGAGUGAAGAAGGGCUUCGGAUCGUAAAGCUCUGUUGACGGGGACGAACGUGCGAAGGGUGAAUAAUCCUUUGUAAUGACGGUACCUGUCGAGGAAGCCGCGGCUAACUACGUG